AGCCUUCUGUAUCCGUGCUGAAAUUUCGUCAAAUAGCAGAUCGCAAGGGCUGAUAAGACUCCCUAGAUAAGUGAAGCG
Molecule: microRNA precursor, 78 nt
Filed under: Schistosoma curassoni
Lineage: Eukaryota; Metazoa; Platyhelminthes; Trematoda; Strigeidida; Schistosomatidae
Description: mir-3492 microRNA precursor family
Rfam family: mir-3492 microRNA precursor family
Source: Rfam by way of RNAcentral